This 492-nucleotide ribosomal RNA is filed under the name uncultured bacterium. RNAcentral's name for it is "partial 16S ribosomal RNA". It matches the Rfam family "Bacterial small subunit ribosomal RNA", at positions 29 to 507 of the family's 1533-position model. The record is from RNAcentral.
AGUGAACGCUGGCGGUAGGCCUAACACAUGCAAGUCGAACGGCAGCACAGUAAGAGCUUGCUCUUACGGGUGGCGAGUGGCGGACGGGUGAGGAAUACAUCGGAAUCUACUUUUUCGUGGGGGAUAACGUAGGGAAACUUACGCUAAUACCGCAUACGACCUACGGGUGAAAGCAGGGGAUCUUCGGACCUUGCGCGAAUGAAUGAGCCGAUGUCGGAUUAGCUAGUUGGGGGGGUAAAGGCCCACCCAGGCGACGAUCGGUAGCUGGUCUGAGAGGAUGAUCAGCCACACUGGAACUGAGACACGGUCCAGACUCCUACGGGAGGCAGCAGUGGGGAAUAUUGGACAAUGGGCGCAAGCCUGAUCCAGCCAUACCGCGUGGGUGAAGAAGGCCUUCGGGUUGUAAAGCCCUUUUGUUGGGAAAGAAAAGCAGCAGGUUAAUACCCCGCUGUUCUGACGGUACCCAAAGAAUAAGCACCGGCUAACUUCGUG